RNAcentral lists this ribosomal RNA (240 nucleotides) under Triticum aestivum (bread wheat). Its description in RNAcentral is "partial small subunit ribosomal RNA". The record is from RNAcentral. Lineage: Eukaryota; Viridiplantae; Streptophyta; Magnoliopsida; Poales; Poaceae.
AUGUUUGAACAAUUCGGUCAUAUACUGUACGAGUGUGGUGCAUAUCAAGUGGAAGAGAUCGAAAAGGGUAAAGAGUAUGUUGCAAUACAUACAGAUGCUGCGCGGAGGGAGAAAUGGUGCAGAACUUCAUACAAGGUGUCUGUGCUUGAUGGAGGAGAAGAAUUUGACUGCGAGUGUGGUCAGUUUGCACACAUGGGGCUGUUGUGCAGCCAUAUACUGCAGGUGAAAAAAUAUAUGUGA